CCCUCAAGAUGAGAUUUCCCAUUCCGCAAGGAAGUAAGAUCCCUGAAAGAUGAUCAGGUUGAUAGGUCUGAGGUGGAAGCGUGGUGACACGUGGAGCUGACAGAUACUAAUAGAUCGAGGACUUAACCUAUAUU
Molecule: ribosomal RNA, 134 nt
Filed under: Bacillus altitudinis
Lineage: Bacteria; Bacillati; Bacillota; Bacilli; Caryophanales; Bacillaceae
Also listed under: 1 other name
Description: partial 23S ribosomal RNA
Rfam family: Bacterial large subunit ribosomal RNA
Source: RNAcentral